GAAUCAAGACAUGCGUAUUCUUCAAAAUAAGGGAUUUGUGAUAUUUUAUCUUAUUUAUGUUCUUUUUUAAUAUUAUUUCCCCCUAGUCAUUUAUCAAUUGCCUAAAUUGCCCCUUUAAAUUUUUACCUAAAUUCUACAUCCAAUGUUCAAAUUUCAAAUUCCUCUGCAAAUUACGAAAGGGCGAGUACAAAGUUAAAACAAAGGGCGAAAUUUAUUGUCUUCUUCAACUCCUGUCUUCAUCACUGGAUGCGAGAUCGAAAAUGGCGAUUAGAGCUUCAGACCCGACCCGAAGCCCAAAAUUAGGCUCCAAAACGCCGAGAAGAGGUACAUCCAGAUCGGAGGCGGAAAAUCCAUUCCAUUCCGCGGCGGCUACUCAUCGUCUUCCUCCGCCACUGCCGCCGGCGCUAGCUCCUCCUCCUCCGCCUCCUACCUCCUCGAUAGCUCAGUCGCCACCGCCUCCCUAUCCAGCCACACCUCUCUCUCCAGCCUCCGAUUUUCGAAUCAAAAUAUAAACUUGCCAAUAAAGGCGGACAGCAUGUAGUAGAUGUCAUACCUCCCACUAGAGAUAUUGCAAUUUCUCCCUCAGCAUCAAUUUGCAGAGGAAUUUGAAAUUGAAUGGAUCUUCAAAAUUAUGUAAUAGAAUUUAAGUAAAAAUUUGAAGGGAUAAUUUAGGCCAUUGAUAAA
Long non-coding RNA from Salvia splendens (bonfire salvia), 684 nucleotides. RefSeq lists it as uncharacterized. NCBI's taxonomy places the organism in Eukaryota, Viridiplantae, Streptophyta, Magnoliopsida, Lamiales, Lamiaceae. The record is from RefSeq and is a predicted model, not a curated record. The transcript has 2 exons.